GAUGAAGAACGCAGCGAAAUGCGAUACUUGGUGUGAAUUGCAGAAUCCCGUGAACCAUCGAGUUUUUGAACGCAAGUUGCGCCCGAAGCCAUUAGGCCGAGGGCACGCCUGCCUGGGCGUCACACGUCGUUGCCCCCCCCAUCUACUCCUUCGGGAUUGCGGGGGGCGGAUGAUGGCCUCCCGUGCGCCUCGCCGCGCGGUUGGCAUAAAUGCCAAGUCCUCGGCGACGCACGCCACGACAAUCGGUGGUUGCGAAACCUCGGUUGCCCGUCGUGUGCGGUCGUCGCGCAUCGAGGGCUCGAAAAAAUUGCCGAGUUCCGGCUCGGCUUUCAACGCGACCCCAGGUCAGGCGGGGUUACCCGCUGAAUUUAAGCAUAUCAAUAAGCGGAGGA
Molecule: unclassified non-coding RNA, 392 nt
Filed under: soil metagenome
Description: partial contains 5.8S ribosomal RNA, internal transcribed spacer 2, and large subunit ribosomal RNA
Rfam family: 5.8S ribosomal RNA (bases 1-122)
Source: RNAcentral